This 45-nucleotide non-coding RNA is filed under the name Schistosoma curassoni. The record is from RNAcentral. Lineage: Eukaryota; Metazoa; Platyhelminthes; Trematoda; Strigeidida; Schistosomatidae.
AUCCAGCUGACGAGUCCCACACAGGACGAAACGCGCAUCCUGGAU